CCUACGGGAGACAGCAGUGAGGAAUAUUGGUCAAUGGGCGCGAGCCUGAACCAGCCAAGCCGCGUGAGGGAAGACGGUCCUAUGGAUUGUAAACCUCUUCUGUAGGGGAGCAAAAGACGCCACGCGUGGCGUUCAGAGAGUACCCGAAGAAAAAGCAUCGGCUAAAUCCGUGCCAGCAGCCGCGGUAAUACGGAGGAUGCGAGCGUUAUCCGGAUUUAUUGGGUUAAAGGGGUGCGCAGGCGGAAGAGCAAGACAGCGUUAAAAUUGAGGGGCUCAACCUCUUCGAGCCGUUGAAACUGGGUUUCUUGAGUGAGUGAGAGGUAUGCGGAAUGCGUGGUGUAGCGGUGAAAUGCAUAGAUAUCACGCAGAACUCCGGUUGCGAAGGCAGCAUACCGGCCUGCAACUGACGUUCAUGCACGAAAGUGUGGGGAGCGAACAGGAUUAGAUACCCUAGUAGUC
RNAcentral lists this ribosomal RNA (459 nucleotides) under uncultured bacterium. RNAcentral's name for it is "partial 16S ribosomal RNA". It matches the Rfam family "Bacterial small subunit ribosomal RNA", at positions 338 to 795 of the family's 1533-position model. The record is from RNAcentral.